ACCGCCAGUCGCGUGAAGGAAGAAGGUUCUAUGGAUUGUAAACUUCUUUUGUAAGGGAAUAAAAAGUAGUACGUGUACUAUAUUGUAUGUACUUUACGAAUAAGGAUCGGCUAACUCCGUGCCAGCAGCCGCGGUAAUACGGAGGAUCCAAGCGUUAUCCGGAUUUAUUGGGUUUAAAGGGUGCGUAGGCGGACUUAUAAGUCAGCGGUGAAAGUUUGCAGCUUAACUGUAAAAUUGCCGUUGAAACUGUUAGUCUUGAGUGUAAAUGAGGUAGGCGGAAUGUGUUGUGUACCGGUGAAAUGCUUAGAUAUAACACAGAACACCAAUUGCGAAGGCAGCUUACUGGGAUACAACUGACGCUGAGGCACGAAAGCGUGGGGAUCAAACAGGAUUAAAUACCCUGGUAGUCCACGCAGUAAACGAUGAAUACUAACUGUAUGCGAUAUACUGUAUGCGGUACAGCGAAAGCGUUAAGUAUUCCACCUGGGGAGUACGUUCGCAAGAAUG
RNAcentral lists this ribosomal RNA (507 nucleotides) under uncultured bacterium. RNAcentral's name for it is "bacterial SSU rRNA". It matches the Rfam family "Bacterial small subunit ribosomal RNA", at positions 388 to 896 of the family's 1533-position model. The record is from RNAcentral.